RNAcentral lists this ribosomal RNA (142 nucleotides) under uncultured eukaryote. RNAcentral's name for it is "partial 18S ribosomal RNA". It matches the Rfam family "Eukaryotic small subunit ribosomal RNA", at positions 1299 to 1458 of the family's 1831-position model. The record is from RNAcentral.
UGGUGGAGUGAUUUGUCUGGUUAAUUCCGUUAACGAACGAGACCUCGACCUGCUAAAUAGUUCGGCAAAUUCUACGGGAUUUGUUCGUGACUUCUUAGAGGGACUAUCGGUGGGUAGCCGAUGGAAGUUCGAGGCAAUAACA